This 200-nucleotide long non-coding RNA is filed under the name Physcomitrium patens. RNAcentral describes it as "long non-coding RNA (PPAT_LNC006091)". Lineage: Eukaryota; Viridiplantae; Streptophyta; Bryopsida; Funariales; Funariaceae. The record is from RNAcentral.
ACCUUUUAGAAUGUAUAAUCUUCCUUUAAAAUAGAGUAGGUUAUUCUUAAUUUUGAACUUGGAAGUAUCAUGAGACUUAAAAGAAUUAUUCUUAAUAUCAUGGAUAAGAAGAUAAAAAGAUAUACUUGAUUAAGUUUUCUUAACAAAGAUUGAAUCAAUAGUUAAUGGAAUAAUCAACAUAUGGGAGAAGAUGAUAAAUU